AACGAACGCUGGCGGCAUGCCUAACACAUGCAAGUCGAACGAGACCUUCGGGUCUAGUGGCGCACGGGUGCGUAACGCGUGGGAAUCUGCCCUUAGGUUCGGAAUAACAGUGGGAAACUACUGCUAAUACCGGAUGAUGACUUCGGUCCAAAGAUUUAUCGCCUAAGGAUGAGCCCGCGUAAGAUUAACUAGUUGGUGGGUAAAGGCCUACCAAGGCUACGAUCUUUAGUCUGGUCUGAGAGGAUGAUCAGCCACACUGGGACUGAGACACGGCCCACGACUCCUACGGGAGGCAGCAGUGGGGAAGUAUUGGACAAUGGGCGAAAGCCUGAUCCAGCAAUGCCGCGUGAGUGAUGAAGGCCUUAGGGUUGUAAAGCUCUUUUACCCGGGAUGAUAAUGACAGUACCGGGAGAAUAAGCUCCGGCUAACUCCGUGCCAGCAGCCCG
RNAcentral lists this ribosomal RNA (446 nucleotides) under uncultured bacterium. RNAcentral describes it as "bacterial SSU rRNA". It matches the Rfam family "Bacterial small subunit ribosomal RNA", at positions 29 to 517 of the family's 1533-position model. The record is from RNAcentral.